CGGUGUUUAACUGGCGUGAUGUGGGACGUCCUACCGGUGGGCUUAGCCUCGCGAGGGGCGGCCCAACUAAUAUCCCGUCGCGGUGCUCUUUACUGAGUGUCGAGUCGGGCCGGUACGUUUACUUUGAACAAAUUAGAGUGCUUAAAGCGGGCUAUCCUCGCCUGAAUACUGCGUGCAUGGAAUAAUGGAAUAGGACCUCGGUUCUAUUUUGUUGGUUUUCAGAACCCCGAGGUAAUGAUUAAUAGGGACAGAUGGGGGCAUUCGUAUUGCGACGUUAGAGGUGAAAUUCUUGGAUCGUCGCAAGACGGACAGAAGCGAAAGCAUUUGCCAAAAAUGUUUUCAUUAAUCAAGAACGAAAGUUAGAGGUUCGAAGGCGAUCAGAUACCGCCCUAGUUCUAACCAUAAACGAUGCCAGCUAGUGAUCCGCCGAAGUUCCUCCGAUGACUCGGCGGGCAGCUUCCGGGAAACCAAAGCUUUUGGGUUCCGGGGGAAGUAUGGUUGCAAAGCUGAAACUUAAAGGAAUUGACGGAAGGGCACCACCAGGAGUGGAGCCUGCGGCUUAAUUUGACUCAACACGGGAAACCUCACCAGGCCCAGACACCGGAAGGAUUGACAGAUUGAUAGCUCUUUCUUGAUUCGGUGGGUGGUGGUGCAUGGCCGUUCUUAGUUGGUGGAGCGAUUUGUCUGGUUAAUUCCGAUAACGAACGAGACUCUAGCCUGCUAAAUAGGCGUACCUUAUGGUAUCGCGAAGGCCCCCGGCUUCGGCCGGUGGGUUUUUACUACCAACGUACAAACAAAUCUUUUUAGAGGGACAGGCGG
Molecule: ribosomal RNA, 819 nt
Filed under: uncultured eukaryote
Lineage: Eukaryota
Description: SSU rRNA
Rfam family: Eukaryotic small subunit ribosomal RNA
Source: RNAcentral